GAAAUGCGAUAAGUAAUGUGAAUUGCGGAAUUCAGUGAAUCAUCGAAUCUUUGAACGCACCUUGCGCUCCUUGGUAUUCCUUGGAGCAUGCCUGUUUGAGUAUCAUGAAAUCUUCAAAGUAAAUCUUUUGUUAACUCAAUUGGUUUCUACUUUGGUAUUGGAGGUCUUUGCAGCUUCACACCUGCUCCUCUUUGUUCAUUAGCUGGAUCUCAGUGUUAUGCUUGGUUCCACUCGGCGUGAUAAGUUAUCUAUCGCUGAGGACACUGUAAAAGGUGGCCAAGGUAAAUGCAGAUGAAACGCUUCUAAUAGUCCAUUGACUUGGACAAUACUUUUAUGAUCUGAUCUCAAAUCAGGUAGGACUACCCGCUGAACUUAAGC
This 378-nucleotide unclassified non-coding RNA is filed under the name plant metagenome. Its description in RNAcentral is "partial contains 5.8S ribosomal RNA, internal transcribed spacer 2, and large subunit ribosomal RNA". The stretch from base 1 to 105 matches the Rfam family "5.8S ribosomal RNA", at positions 50 to 154 of the family's 154-position model. The record is from RNAcentral.